This 72-nucleotide transfer RNA is filed under the name Platyzosteria sp. AUS3. Its description in RNAcentral is "tRNA-Lys". Lineage: Eukaryota; Metazoa; Arthropoda; Insecta; Blattodea; Blattidae. The record is from RNAcentral.
CACUAGGUGACUGAAAGCAAGUAAUGGUCUCUUAAACCAAUUUAUAGUAAAGUUAGCAAUUACUUCUAGUGA